RNAcentral lists this ribosomal RNA (522 nucleotides) under Sticta caperata. RNAcentral describes it as "partial large subunit ribosomal RNA". It matches the Rfam family "Eukaryotic large subunit ribosomal RNA", at positions 83 to 607 of the family's 3401-position model. The record is from RNAcentral. Lineage: Eukaryota; Fungi; Ascomycota; Lecanoromycetes; Peltigerales; Lobariaceae.
GUAACGGCGAGUGAAGCGGCAACAGCUCAAAUUUGAAAUCUGGCCUCUUCGGGGUCCGAGUUGUAAUUUGUAGAGGGUGUUUCGGGCGCGAUGCCGGUCUAAGUUCUUUGGAACAGGACGUCGUAGAGGGUGAGAAUCCCGUAUGCGACCGGCGAUCAAGCCUGUGUGAAGCCCCUUCGACGAGUCGAGUUGUUUGGGAAUGCAGCUCAAAAUGGGUGGUAAAUUUCAUCUAAAGCUAAAUAUUGGCCAGAGACCGAUAGCGGACAAGUAGAGUGAUCGAAAGAUGAAAAGCACUUUGGAAAGAGAGUCAAACAGUACGUGAAAUUGUUGAAAGGGAAGCGCUUGCAAUCAGACCGGUCCGGAGGCGAUCAGCCGCUGCUCGUCAGCGGUGCACUCGCCUGCGAUCCGGCCAGCAUCGGUUUGGGCGGCGGGAGAAAAGGCCGGGGAAUGUAGCUUCUUUCGGGGAGUCUUAUAGCCCGGGUCGCAAUGCCGCCCGCCUGGACCGAGGACCGCGCUUCGGCU